GGUCAGGAGGGGCGUCGUGAGGGCGGACCCUAGGGCGGGGCGAGGAUGAGCGUUAUGAGGGCGAGGCCCGCAGUAGGGCCAGGAUGAGCGUCAUGAGGGCGAGGCCUGGGGUAGGGCCAGGAUAAGCGUCGUUGGGGCAGGUCCUGGGGAGAGUCCAGGUUGGCGGGUCCUGGGGCGGGGCCGGGGUAGGGCUAUGCUGGAAGCCGGGCUUCGGAAGCGUCCAGAUAGUGUCUCUCUCUCUGCCACCCAGGCCAGAGUGCAGUUGAUGCAGGGCAGGGGAGCCCCGAAGUGGAGCAUAGUGUGUCCAGAACUGGUGGGUUCUUGGUAUCACUGACUUCAAGAAUGAAGCCGCAGACCCUUGCGAGACAGGGUUUCACCAUGUUGGCCAGGCUGGUCUCGAGCUCCUGACCUCGUGAUCCACCCGCUUUGGCCUCCCAAAGUGCUGGGAUUACAGGCAUGAGCCACCGUACCCAGCUACUCUUGAUUAACUUACUGGAAAUAUUUACAGAGAUUCUUUCUCUUCUGGGUUCUAGCGUCUUAUCUGUAACCUCUGCAGGCGCAGGAAUGAGAGGCAGCAGCUGGGGAAGCCAGGGACUCCGGCAGUCCUUGUCUCUGGGAGGUGAUCCAGAGAGAGAGAGAGAGCACGAUUGUCUCAGCACUGGGUCUUCCUCUGAGUCUUGAAGGAGCACUUCCAGAGCGUCUCGGUGUUAAACAUCAUGUUGUGAAUGACUGCGUGAGCUCUGACCCAGUGACCUUGGGGAUAAAGGAGGGGAGGUACAGAUAAGCUCUUCGAAUGGAUGUUACCGGGGUGUCAGUUGUCUUUGAGGGCACAGGCUAUGUGUCACCAAAGAAAGAGCUCAGUGCCUUUUCUCAUUGCUCAAGAGAUUGAAGGGGUAGGAAGAAAAGAUGUUAAGUUAUAAACAUGUUUCAGUUUUGGUACCACUUGAAGCAAUUUACGUUUUGAAGAGGAAAGAGUCUUGCCUACAAAGUCAGCCCCCGGGUUUUCCUUCUGCUUAUGGAAUCCAGGCAGUGGGCAAAGAAAAAAAGAAAACUAAGGAAUCAGCCAGGUGCAGUGGCUCAUGCUUGUAAUUUUGGAACUUUGGGAGGCUGAGGCAAGUGGACUUCUUGAGUCCAGGAGUUCAAGACCAGCCUGUCCCACACAGUGAGACCCCGUUUCUACAAAAAAUACAAAAAGUUGCUGAGCAUGGUGGCAUGCACCUGUAGUCCCAGUUACUUAGGAGGCUGAGGUGGGAGAACUAGUUCAGCCCAGGAGAUUGAGGCUGCAGUGAGCCAUGAUUGUGCCACUAUACUCCAGCCUGGGUGACAGAGUGAGGCCCUGUCUCAAAAGAAAACGAAAAAGAUGAGAAAAAGAAAACUAGGGAAUCUGGACAGAAUAAGUUUAUAUAUAUAAUAAAGAACUGAGAUAGAA
Symphalangus syndactylus (siamang) is the source of this 1429-nucleotide long non-coding RNA. RefSeq lists it as uncharacterized. The record is from RefSeq and is a predicted model, not a curated record. Lineage: Eukaryota; Metazoa; Chordata; Mammalia; Primates; Hylobatidae.